GGGAGCGGUUUAUCCCUCCCCGGCUAUAUCAGGCGCGAGCGCCCAUCCACCCCAAGCGCCCAUAUGGCUUUGACCCGUCCGGUUGUCCCCCCGGACGGGUC
Bradyrhizobium elkanii is the source of this 101-nucleotide non-coding RNA. NCBI's taxonomy places the organism in Bacteria, Pseudomonadati, Pseudomonadota, Alphaproteobacteria, Hyphomicrobiales, Nitrobacteraceae. The record is from Rfam.